This 468-nucleotide ribosomal RNA is filed under the name uncultured bacterium. RNAcentral describes it as "partial 16S ribosomal RNA". It matches the Rfam family "Bacterial small subunit ribosomal RNA", at positions 28 to 507 of the family's 1533-position model. The record is from RNAcentral.
GACGAACGCUGGCGGCGUGCUUAACACAUGCAAGUCGAACGAAAAGGCCCGGCUCUUGUGGCGUGCUCGUUUGCCGAACGGGUGAGUAACACGCGUGUAACCUCCCCUUGACUUUGGGGUAACUUCAGGAAACUCGGGCUCAUAUCGGAUAGGAUCUCCUGCUGCAUGGUGGUGGAUGGAGAGUUUCGGCGGUUGGGGAUGGACUCGCGGCUUAUCAGCUUGUUGGUGGAGUAGUGGCGUUCGAAGGCUUUGACGGGUAGCCCGCCUGAGAGGGUGACCGGCCUCCUUGGGCCUGAGAUACGGCGCAGAAUGCUACGGGAGGCAGCAGUGGGGAAUAUUGCAGAGUGGGCGGGAGCCUGAUGCAGCGAUGCCGGGUGCGGGAUGACCGGCUUCGGGUUGAAAACCAAUUUGGCCUGUGACGAAGAGUGAGUGACGGUAAUGGGUAAAGAAGCACCGGCUAACUACGUG